This 501-nucleotide ribosomal RNA is filed under the name uncultured bacterium. Its description in RNAcentral is "partial 16S ribosomal RNA". It matches the Rfam family "Bacterial small subunit ribosomal RNA", at positions 30 to 523 of the family's 1533-position model. The record is from RNAcentral.
AUUGAACGCUGGCGGCAGGCUUAACACAUGCAAGUCGAGCGGGGGAAGGUAGCUUGCUACUGGACCUAGCGGCGGACGGGUGAGUAAUGCUUAGGAAUCUGCCUAUUAGUGGGGGACAACAUCUCGAAAGGGAUGCUAAUACCGCAUACGUCCUACGGGAGAAUGCAGGGGAUCUUCGGACCUUGCGCUAACAGAUGAGCCUAAGUCGGCUUAGCUAGUUGGUGGGGUAAAGGACUACCAAGGCGACGAUCUGUAGCGGGUGUGAGAGGAUGAUCCGCCAAACUGGGAAUGAGACAAGGCCCAGACUCCUACGGGAGGCAGCAGUGGGGAAUAUUGGACAAUGGGGGGAACCCUGAUCCAGCCAUGCCGCGUGUGUGAAGAAGGCCUUAUGGUUGUAAAGCACUUUAAGCGAGGAGGAGGCUACUCUAGUUAAUACCUAGGGAUAGUGGACGUUACUCGCAGAAUAAGCACCGGCUAACUCUGUGCCAGCCGCCGCCGUAA